UACAAGCAACACAAACACAUUAUACAUCCCUGGACAGAGCUAGUCCCCAAGCAUAACAGUUUUAAAAAGCACCCAGAGCAAAAGCGCCCAGCCCAAGUAAUAAUCAUGUAAAGUUGGAUCGGGCCAUGGCUAACCCCUGAUCUGAUGCAGAGUUCUAGACUGUUUUGCAUUAAGUUCUGGUUUCCAAUAAUGUCUUUCUGAAGCCUGUAGAAGGAAGCUCCCACAAGUCCUUGUCUCACACGUAGGAGCGUAGGACUGCCCGACACCCAGUCUGACACAGCUUGCUUGUACACUGGACAUUGAGGAACCCCACUCCUCUGCUGCUUGAG
Pelobates cultripes (western spadefoot toad) is the source of this 329-nucleotide non-coding RNA. The record is from the annotation of a GenBank genome assembly. NCBI's taxonomy places the organism in Eukaryota, Metazoa, Chordata, Amphibia, Anura, Pelobatidae.